This 777-nucleotide ribosomal RNA is filed under the name Triticum aestivum (bread wheat). RNAcentral's name for it is "partial small subunit ribosomal RNA". Lineage: Eukaryota; Viridiplantae; Streptophyta; Magnoliopsida; Poales; Poaceae. The record is from RNAcentral.
AUGUCGAUGCUGGAUGAGUGGCAUCACCUUGCCAAACACUCUAGACGGUUCAUUAAAGGUUGGGGUGCUAAUGUGGGGCGAGACCUUAGGGUCCAUAAGGGAGCCUUACUUGCGAAGAUUCCGGUUCUCGACCUGCGUGCGGAUGGUAGUGGUCUCUCGUCCAAUGAGUGGGCUUUACUAUACAGUCUCAAAGAUGCUCUGAUGGACAUCUAUGCCAAGGAGGAGGAAUAUUGGCGGCAGCGGGGAUCCAUGAACUGGAUUUUGGAUGGAGAUCGGAUGCUGCAGGAUCCGGAUGUGAUCCGGAGCCAUGUAGAUGGGUUCUACAAGGCGUUAUUCCCCAAACUACGUGGGGGGGGGGGCAUUGCCCUUGUGGAUAAUAUUUGGGUGGCUCAACAAUGGAUAUCCCACGAGGAGAAUAAUUUCUUGCUUGCGUCCUUUGAUGAAGCUGGGGUUGAAGCCUUCUUCAAGUCGAUGAAUCCCGCCUCGGCCCCGGGCCCCGAUGGUCUGCCAGAUUCUGGCCAAGGGUACGCCACCACGGAGGCUGAUGGGGCACACACUAGCGAGACGCUAAAUCAGUGUAGACAGCCCGACCUUUCACGGCGAUACAAGAUCAACACUUCUUUUCCUGUGUUCCUUCUCGCAACCUCCAAUAACAAUCUCUACCCGUGCACGAUCAGUACACGAACAAAAAUAAUGAUCCCCUUGAAUCAGCACGUAGGCGUCGAUGUGAUGAUCAACCCUUCAUCGCUAAUAGAUUCCCUCGAAGGAAAAUCAUAA